RNAcentral lists this ribosomal RNA (496 nucleotides) under uncultured bacterium. Its description in RNAcentral is "bacterial SSU rRNA". It matches the Rfam family "Bacterial small subunit ribosomal RNA", at positions 29 to 507 of the family's 1533-position model. The record is from RNAcentral.
ACGAACGCUGGCGGCAUGCCUAAUACAUGCAAGUCGAGCGACCAGAUGAAGUGCUUGCACUUCUGACGUUAGCGGCGAACGGGUGAGUAACACGUAAGGAAUCUACCUAUAAGCGGGGGAUAACAUUCGGAGACGGGUGCUAAUACCGCAUAAUAUCUUCUUCCGCAUGGAAGAAGAUUGAAAGACGGCUCUGCUGUCACUUAUAGAUGACCUUGCGGUGCAUUAGUUAGUUGGUGGGGUAAUGGCCUACCAAGACGAUGAUGCAUAGCCGACCUGAGAGGGUGAUCGGCCACAUUGGGACUGAGACACGGCCCAAACUCCUACGGGAGGCAGCAGUAGGGAAUCUUCCGCAAUGGGCGAAAGCCUGACGGAGCAAUGCCGCGUGAGUGAAGAAGGCCUUCGGGUCGUAAAACUCUGUUAUAAGAGAAGAACAAAUUGUAGAGUAACUGCUACAGUCUUGACGGUAUCUUAUCAGAAAGCCACGGCUAACUACGUG